AUUGAACGCUGGCGGCAUGCCUAACACAUGCAAGUCGAGCGAGCGGCGGACGGGUGAGUAAUGUAUGGGGACUGCCCGAUAGAGGGGGAUAACUAGUGGAAACGGUGGCUAAUACCGCUUACUAACGGAUACCCCUUAUGGGAUUAGCUAGUGGGUGGGGUAAAGGCUCACCUAGGCGACGAUCUCUAGCUGGUCUGAGAGGAUGAUCAGCCACGCUGGGACUGAGACACGGCCCAGACUCCAAGGGAGGCAGCAGUGGGGAAUAUUGCACAAUGGGCGCAAGCCUGAGGCAGCCAUGCCGCGUGUAUGAAGAAGGCCUUCGGGUGGUAAAGUACUUUCAGCGGGGAGGCGUUAGCCGCAGAAGAAGCACCGGCUAACUCCGUGCCAGCAGCCGCGGUAAUUC
Molecule: ribosomal RNA, 403 nt
Filed under: uncultured bacterium
Lineage: Bacteria
Description: partial 16S ribosomal RNA
Rfam family: Bacterial small subunit ribosomal RNA
Source: RNAcentral